UGGGGAAUUUUGGACAAUGGGCGAAAGCCUGAUCCAGCAAUGCCGCGUGUGUGAAGAAGGCCUUCGGGUUGUAAAGCACUUUUGUCCGGAAAGAAAUCCUUGGCUCUAAUACAGUCGGGGGAUGACGGUACCGGAAGAAUAAGCACCGGCUAACUACGUGCCAGCAGCCGCGGUAAUACGUAGGGUGCAAGCGUUAAUCGGAAUUACUGGGCGUAAAGCGUGCGCAGGCGGUUUGCUAAGACCGAUGUGAAAUCCCCGGGCUCAACCUGGGAACUGCAUUGGUGACUGGCAGGCUAGAGUAUGGCAGAGGGGGGUAGAAUUCCACGUGUAGCAGUGAAAUGCGUAGAGAUGUGGAGGAAUACCGAUGGCGAAGGCAGCCCCCUGGGCCAAUACUGACGCUCAUGCACGAAAAGCGUGGGGGAGCAAAACAGGAUUAGAUACCCUGGUAGUCCCACGCCCUAAAACGAUGUCAACUAGUUGUUGGGGAUUCAUUUCCUUAGUAACGUAGCUAACGCGUGAAGUUGACCGCCUGGGGAGUACGGUCG
Molecule: ribosomal RNA, 545 nt
Filed under: uncultured bacterium
Lineage: Bacteria
Description: partial 16S ribosomal RNA
Rfam family: Bacterial small subunit ribosomal RNA
Source: RNAcentral